ACCCAGACAGGAUAAGCAAUCGAGCCUGAAUGCAAUCGAACCGACUUCUGGCCUAUCAGAGCACGGCUUUGUCAGUCAUGUGAUCACAACAACCCGGGAGAAAGAUGACGGAGAACAGCGGGGCUCGGGAUGGAUGAUUAGAGACUUUGGGGGAAACCUCAGCUUUAUGAACGUCCUGUCUGUUGGUUUGGCCAGAGAGGGCUGAGGGUCUUUCCCUGCGAGGAGGACCAGGCCUGAGGGAGGAGGACCUGCACCAGCUGCACCUACAGAACUUAGCCCAUGCUGGGCAUAGCUGUUACCACCUGCACAGGCCUAGCCUGUCACUUUAUUUGACAACAUGUGUUUACUUAUGUAUAUUAUUUCGUUUUUAUUUUAAAAAAUUGUGAUGGUUCAUGCUUGAUAACUUUUAGUUCACAUUUCAAUAAAUUGUAUUUGUAUUUGCA
Molecule: long non-coding RNA, 443 nt
Organism: Trematomus bernacchii (emerald rockcod)
Lineage: Eukaryota; Metazoa; Chordata; Actinopteri; Perciformes; Nototheniidae
Exons: 2
Source: RefSeq, a predicted model, not a curated record